Molecule: ribosomal RNA, 497 nt
Filed under: uncultured bacterium
Lineage: Bacteria
Description: partial 16S ribosomal RNA
Rfam family: Bacterial small subunit ribosomal RNA
Source: RNAcentral
GAUGAACGCUGGCGGCGUGCCUAAUACAUGCAAGUCGAGCGAACGGACGAGAAGCUUGCUUCUCUGAUGUUAGCGGCGGACGGGUGAGUAACACGUGGAUAACCUACCUAUAAGACUGGGAUAACUUCGGGAAACCGGAGCUAAUACCGGAUAAUAUUUUGAACCGCAUGGUUCAAAAGUGAAAGACGGUCUUGCUGUCACUUAUAGAUGGAUCCGCGCUGCAUUAGCUAGUCGGUAAGGUAACGGCUUACCAAGGCAACGAUGCAUAGCCGACCUGAGAGGGUGAUCGGCCACACUGGAGCUGAGACACGGUCCAGACUCCUACGGGAGGCAGCAGUAGGGAAUCUUCCGCAAUGGGCGAAAGCCUGACGGAGCAACGCCGCGUGAGUGAUGAAGGUCUUCGGAUCGUAAAACUCUGUUAUUAGGGAAGAACAUAUGUGUAAGUAACUGUGCACAUCUUGACGGUACCUAAUCAGAAAGCCACGGCUAACUACGUG